This 1069-nucleotide long non-coding RNA is filed under the name Anas platyrhynchos platyrhynchos (common mallard). RNAcentral's name for it is "lncRNA (ENSAPLG00000018846.1)". Lineage: Eukaryota; Metazoa; Chordata; Aves; Anseriformes; Anatidae. The record is from RNAcentral.
CGAAGCCUUGAACCCCCCCAAACCCCCAGCCCAGAGCCCCCCAGGGCUGGUUUUAUCCCCAAAAUAAAAAAAGGGCAGGGACCCCUUUUUGGAGCCCCCAGGGAAGUUGCAAGAAGUCCAAGCGCAGCCCGAUGAAGCAGCAGCACCUCUUUAUUCAGCACCCCCAGCAGCGGGCGGUGCCGGCACCUAGGCCGCAGGGCUCGCCGGGCCCCCUCACAGCAGGCGUUUUGACAAAAACCACGGGAAAACUCCCCAAAUCCUCCACACGCUGCCAGAGGAAGGACACGAGCGCGUGCCCAGCUCCGUGCCUUAAGGCCCUGCUACCAUCCCUCACCUGGUGCAUGGGGCACUAAUAGGACUGAGCACACCCCAUGGCCUAGGCCCGAGCACGUCCCAUGGGCUAGGCCCGAGCGCACCCCAUUCCCUGGGACAUGGGGCACCCCAUUGCCGCCCCCCAUGCCCAGGAGAGCUGCCCGCAGCCCCGUUACCUCCUGCAUCCUCCCCCCCUUGGGCAUCCCCACCUUCAGCCCCCCAGGAUCCCCCCAUUUGGCUCUCCCGGGCACCCCACACGGAGCACAGCCCGGGGAUGGGGCCCUGCGAGGUUCCACCACCCCCAUCAGUGGGGUGGGGAGGAAGGCUCCGCGCUCAUCGUCACCCCCGAGGCGCCCUCAGCUCCAUCCCUGCUCCUCUCCUGCCCCCCCCCAGCACCUCCACCCAGAGAGGCGAGAGGACGGGAUGCUCGUGGUGUAUUUCGGUGGUGGUACAAAUCAGAACAAACCAACAGGAAAAAAAAAAAAAAAAAAAAAAAAAAAAAAAAUAGGAAAAAAAAAUCUCCUCCUCCUCCCCCCCCCGAGAUUAUAAAAAAAUAAGAAUAUACACAUUCCGAGAGCUUAUUACAGUAUAAAGUUACGGGUGCCCGCCGAGGGCUGAGCGUCCUCCCGGGGUGAUCCUCCCCUGAGUCACCGCGGGGCUGGGCCGUGCCGGUGACAUCCCAGCCGGGCAAGCCGGUUGUCCCCACGUCCCCACGCCCCCAAAUCCUCGUACCUAGCGUCUGUGCCCCGAGGGCUGG